Octodon degus (degu) is the source of this 3271-nucleotide RNA transcript. It is a transcript of the gene named TNF receptor associated factor 7, with no coding region annotated. The record is from RefSeq and is a predicted model, not a curated record. NCBI's taxonomy places the organism in Eukaryota, Metazoa, Chordata, Mammalia, Rodentia, Octodontidae. The transcript is spliced from 22 exons.
CACGAAUCGUAGUUUCUGAAGCGCCGUGCGUGAGGCAGCUGCCUGGGUCACUUGAGCCAGCUAACUACAAGUCCCGACGGGCUCAGCGCCUGAACGCUUCCGGCUCGCGCGUCUCCUCCCGUUCUCAGCCAGCAGCAGAGGGAGCACGAUGAAUCCAGCGGGUGAUGCUGCCGCUCCCGGGCAGCAGGCGGGGGAUGCUGCCCAAGGACCCCGCAUGCCUCUCUAGAGCAUGAGCUCAGGCAAGAGCACCCGCUACAACCGCUUCUCUGGGGGGCCCACCAACCUUCCUUCCCCAGACGUCAGCACCGGGACCAGAAUGGAAACGACCUUCGGGCCCGCCUUUUCUGCUGUCACCACCAUCACCAAAGCUGAUGGAAGCAGCACGUACAAACAGCACCGAAGGACACCUUCCUCCUCCAGCACCCUUGCCUACUCCCCAAGGGAUGAGGAGGACAGCAUGCCCCCUAUCAACACUCCCCGCCGUUCCGACUCAGCCAUCUCUGUGCGCUCCCUGCACUCCGAGUCCAGCAUGUCCUUGCGCUCCACGUUCUCACUGCCUGAAGAGGAAGAGGAGCCGGAGCCACUGGUGUUUUCUGAGCAGCCCUCAGUGAAGCUGUGCUGCCAACUCUGCUGUAGCGUGUUCAAGGACCCUGUGAUCACCACAUGUGGGCACACGUUCUGUAGAAGAUGUGCCUUGAAGUCAGAGAAAUGUCCCGUGGACAACGCCAAGCUGACAGUGGUGGUGAACAACAUUGCGGUGGCUGAGCAGAUUGGGGAGCUCUUCAUCCACUGCAGGCACGGCUGUCGAGUGGCAGGUGUGGGGAAGCCCAGCGUCUUUGAGGUGGACCCCCGGGGGUGCCCCUUCACCAUAAAGCUCAGUGCCCGAAAGGAUCACGAAGGCAGCUGUGACUACAGGCCAGUGCGCUGCCCCAACAACCCCAACUGUCCUCCCCUCCUCAAGAUGAACCUGGAGGCCCACCUCAAGGAAUGCGAGCAUAUCAAGUGUCCCCACUCCAAGUACGGGUGUACAUUCAUUGGGAACCAGGACACAUAUGAGACACAUCUGGAGACAUGCCGCUUUGAGGGCCUGAAGGAAUUCCUGCAGCAGACAGAUGACCGCUUCCACGAGAUGCAUGUAGCACUGGCACAAAAGGACCAGGAGAUUGCCUUCCUGCGCUCUAUGCUGGGCAAGCUCUCAGAGAAGAUCGACCAACUAGAGAAGAGCCUUGAGCUCAAGUUUGAUGUCCUGGAUGAGAACCAGAGCAAACUCAGUGAGGACCUCAUGGAGUUCCGGAGGGAUGCAUCCAUGCUGAAUGAUGAGCUGUCCCAUAUCAAUGCACGGUUGAACAUGGGCAUCCUAGGAUCCUAUGACCCUCAGCAGAUCUUCAAGUGCAAAGGGACUUUUGUGGGCCACCAGGGUCCUGUCUGGUGUCUCUGUGUCUACUCCAUGGGUGACCUACUCUUUAGUGGCUCUUCUGACAAGACUAUCAAGGUGUGGGAUACGUGUACCACCUAUAAGUGCCAGAAAACACUAGAAGGCCAUGAUGGUAUCGUGCUGGCUCUCUGCAUCCAGGGGUGCAAACUAUACAGCGGUUCUGCAGAUUGUACCAUCAUCGUAUGGGACAUCCAGAACCUGCAGAAGGUGAACACCAUCCGGGCCCAUGACAACCCUGUGUGCACCCUAGUAUCCUCUCACAACAUGCUCUUCAGUGGCUCCCUAAAGGCCAUCAAGGUCUGGGACAUCGUGGGUACUGAGCUUAAGUUGAAGAAGGAGCUCACAGGCCUCAACCACUGGGUGCGGGCCCUGGUAGCAGCCCAGAGCUACCUUUACAGUGGCUCCUACCAGACAAUCAAGAUCUGGGACAUCCGGACCCUUGAUUGUAUCCACGUCCUGCAGACGUCUGGUGGCAGUGUCUACUCUAUUGCUGUGACAAAUCACCACAUUGUCUGUGGCACCUAUGAGAACCUCAUCCAUGUGUGGGACAUCGAGUCCAAGGAGCAAGUGCGGACCCUCACAGGCCAUGUAGGCACUGUGUACGCCCUGGCAGUCAUCUCAACACCAGACCAGACCAAAGUCUUCAGUGCAUCUUAUGAUCGGUCCCUCCGCGUCUGGAGUAUGGACAACAUGAUCUGCACACAGACCUUACUCCGCCACCAGGGCAGUGUGACUGCUCUGGCUGUGUCCCGGGGCCGGCUCUUUUCAGGGGCUGUGGAUAGUACCGUAAAGGUUUGGACAUGCUGACAGAAUCCAAGCCAGGCCUCAACUCUCUCUGGACCUUGCCCGAGCCAGGCUGGCCACACAAAGUGGUCUUUGGGCUUUUGCCUGCCAUGUGGGGGCAAGUAAAUGUGCUCAAGUGGCCAAGCAGUGUCCACCCUACUCCACACUCCAGCAAGCCUCCCUCUACUUGGCCCUGCCUUCACUCUUGCCAGGGCAAAGCCCAGGACCCUCUGGGUGCCAGCCAGCUGACAUCAGUUCCCUGCCCAGACGAUCCCCCAUCCCCACCUGCCAGAGCCCCAGCCUGGGCUGCCCACUGAUGGCUGGCUGGUCAACUCACCAGGAAGCCCCAGGUGUGACAGUUGGAGGAGGACCCAUGCCCAGAUGUCACCCUCCCUGGCCCCCUCCAUCAGCCUGCCGCACAAUUGCUGGUUUUCAGCGGUUUUAAAGUUUUGUGUUUUUUUUUUAAGAAAUGUCAAAGUUGUGCCCAACACUUGUGGAUCAGCAAACACAAUAGAGGAGACCAGUCAGUACUUUUUAGAAGAAGGAAAGAGGAAGAGAGAAAGGACGAAAAAUGACCACAUAACACAGCCUGGACCAUGAGCAGAAGCAUCCAUGGGAACUGAAUGAGGCCCUGGGGAGGGAGUCAGACUCCCUCACAUAUCUACCCACAGUCUGGCAUGCAUACCCCUGCACCCAUACUGCUGUCACUUGGCUGACAUGCCCAAGAUCACAUGCUGCCCCAGGGCACUCCUAUCAGCAACCCCGGGGCAUGGCCAGCCCAAGAGGAGAAAGCCCUCUCACAAUCGGGCACAGAGGACACAGCCUGUCAGCCAGCAAGGCACAUCCUUCAAGUUCUUCCAACGCAGAGAAGUUACAAGAGAGGAGCAGGGGAGAGACGCUGGGCAGAGCCCCUCCCCAGACAGUCUCCUAGGUGUGUUCAUGGCCAGGACAUGGCCACUCAUAGAUACAGGGAGGGAAGGACACACAGAUAGAUGGCCUGGGUCCCUGACAGCUUUAGUCUCAAGCUGGGCACCAGUGUCCUUUCAGUUGGUA